GUAAAACUCAUUAAUAAUCCACCCCUUGGUUAGCAUAUAAUUGAGAAAUAACUGUAAGUAUCCUUAGUUGAGCAGCCCACACUGCUGCUCUGCCUACGGAGUAGCCAUUCUUCUAUUCCUUUACUUUCCUAAUAAAUUUGCUUUUGCUUUGCACUGCAGACUUACCCAAAAUUCUUUCUUUUCUUUUUUUUUCUUUUAGACAGAGUCCCCCUCUGUCACCCAGGCUGGAGUGCAGUGGCGCCAUCUCGGCUCACUGCAACCUCCACCUCCUGGGUUCAAGAGAUUCUCCUGCCUCAGCCUCUGGAUUAGCUGGGAUUAUAGGCAUGCACCACUAUGCCCGGCUAAUUUUUGUAUUUUUAGUAAAGAUGGGGGUUUCACCAUGUUGGCCAGGCUGGUCUCGAACUCCUGACCUCAAGUGAUCCUCCUGCCUCAGCCUCCCAAAUUGCCGGAGUUACAGGCAGAAGCCACCACCCCUGGCUCUAAAUUCUUUCUUAUACGAGAUCCAAGAACCCACUCUUCGGUUCUGGAUUGGGACCAUUUCUGGAAGCUUCAUUUCAUUGAAUCACAAAGGGACGAAACUAAGGAAACCCCCAACCCAAAGGAAAUAGACUGAAUCACCAGUUGGCUAACUUUUUGCAAGUGGUGGCGUACCCAG
RNAcentral lists this long non-coding RNA (655 nucleotides) under Homo sapiens (human). RNAcentral describes it as "HSALNT0123553". Lineage: Eukaryota; Metazoa; Chordata; Mammalia; Primates; Hominidae. The record is from RNAcentral.